Small nucleolar RNA from Suncus etruscus (white-toothed pygmy shrew), 135 nucleotides. RefSeq annotates it as small nucleolar RNA SNORA51. The transcript has a single exon. Lineage: Eukaryota; Metazoa; Chordata; Mammalia; Eulipotyphla; Soricidae. The record is from RefSeq and is a predicted model, not a curated record.
AGCUUAGCACAAUGCUUAGCACAGACUGUGUUCUUUACACUGACUGUAUAGAAAAAGGAGGUACAGUAACUGAACCCCAUAAACACCUUAGCCCAGGCCCUUUGCCUGGUCUGUAUUGUGAAUGGGGGGGCAUGG